This 482-nucleotide ribosomal RNA is filed under the name uncultured bacterium. Its description in RNAcentral is "partial 16S ribosomal RNA". It matches the Rfam family "Bacterial small subunit ribosomal RNA", at positions 29 to 507 of the family's 1533-position model. The record is from RNAcentral.
CUUGAACGCUGGCGGCAUGCUCUACACAUGCAAGUCGAACGGUAACAGGCCGCAAGGUGCUGACGCGUGGUGAACGGGCGGGUAAUGCAUGGGAAAGAGCCCAGUCGUGGGGGAUCACUACUCGAUAGUGUAGCAACUACCGCCUACGAUCGAUGGCUGAAAGCGGGGGUCCGCAAGGCCUCGUGCGAUUGGGGCGGCCGAUGUGAGAUUAGGUAGUUGGUGGGGUAAUGGCCCGCCACGGCAUCGAUCUGUAGCUGGUCUGAGAGGAGGACAAGGCGCACUGGGGCUGAGACACGGCCCAAACUGCUAGGGGAGGCAGCAGUGGGGAAUUGUGGACAAUGGGCGCAAUCCUAAUCCAGCAAUGCCGCGUGAAGGAAGAGGGCCUUGGGGUUGUAAACUGCUUUUGUACGGAACGAAACGGCUCUGGUUAAUGCGCGGGGCUAAUGACGGUACCGUAAGAAUAAGCACCGGCUAACUACGUG